This 831-nucleotide ribosomal RNA is filed under the name Phaeosphaeriaceae sp. Its description in RNAcentral is "eukaryotic LSU rRNA". It matches the Rfam family "Eukaryotic large subunit ribosomal RNA", at positions 54 to 905 of the family's 3401-position model. Lineage: Eukaryota; Fungi; Ascomycota; Dothideomycetes; Pleosporales; Phaeosphaeriaceae. The record is from RNAcentral.
CGGAGAAGACAACAGGGAUUGCCUUAGUAACGGCGAGUGAAGCGGCAACAGCUCAAAUUUGAAAUCUGGCUCUUUUAGAGUCCGAGUUGUAAUUUGCAGAGGGCGCUUUGGCGUUGGCAGCGGUCCAAGUUCCUUGGAACAGGACGUCACAGAGGGUGAGAAUCCCGUACGUGGUCGCUAGCCAUCACCGUGUAAAGCCCCUUCGACGAGUCGAGUUGUUUGGGAAUGCAGCUCUAAAUGGGAGGUAAAUUUCUUCUAAAGCUAAAUACUGGCCAGAGACCGAUAGCGCACAAGUAGAGUGAUCGAAAGAUGAAAAGCACUUUGGAAAGAGAGUCAAAUAGCACGUGAAAUUGUUGAAAGGGAAGCGCUUGCAGCCAGACUUGCCUGUAGUUGCUCAUCCGGGCUUUUGCCCGGUGCACUCUUCUGCGGGCAGGCCAGCAUCAGUUUGGGCGGUUGGAUAAAGGUCUCUGUCAUGUACCUCUCUUCGGGGAGAACUUAUAGGGGAGACGACAUACAACCAGCCUGGACUGAGGUCCGCGCAUUUGCUAGGAUGCUGGCGUAAUGGCUGUAAGCGGCCCGUCUUGAAACACGGACCAAGGAGUCUAACAUCUAUGCGAGUGUUUGGGUGUCAAGCCCGAGCGCGUAAUGAAAGUGAACGGAGGUGGGACCCCUUUUAGGGUGCACCAUCGACCGAUCCUGAUGUCUUCGGAUGGAUUUGAGUAAGAGCAUGGCUGUUGGGACCCGAAAGAUGGUGAACUAUGCUUGAAUAGGGUGAAGCCAGAGGAAACUCUGGUGGAGGCUCGCAGCGGUUCUGACGUGCAAAUCGAUCGU